Molecule: RNA transcript, 13539 nt
Organism: Anolis carolinensis (green anole)
Lineage: Eukaryota; Metazoa; Chordata; Lepidosauria; Squamata; Anolidae
Gene: rnf182
Gene name: ring finger protein 182
Exons: 4
Source: RefSeq, a predicted model, not a curated record
AUAUACAUUGCAACCUCUGAAGAUGCCUGCCAUAGAUGUGGGUGAAACGUCAGGAGAUAAUGUUUCUGGAACAUGGCCAUACAUCCCAGAAAGCUCACAGCAACCAAGAUUUGUUCAGUUAAGAGAGUGUGACUCUCCCCAGGUCACCCAUUGGGUUUCAUAGGGAGGAUUAAUAAGCAGCACAGAUUGAUUACCUUAUCCCAAAAUCUGAAAUGGUUCAAAAUCGCAUCUGCAUUGGGGUGGUUGAGAUAGUGACACAAACUUUGAUCCAUGCACACUUUCAUUUUAGAUAUUGUGGAUACACAGGCAGUCCCCGGUUACAAAUAUCCGAUUUACAAAUGACUCAUUGUUAAGAACAGGGUGUGACAUAAGGAAGUGAGAGAAAACUACCCAUUGGAAGGGAAAUUUACCCCUAAAAGAGUUGUUAUCAUGGGGAAACAAUGUCUCCACUGAAGCUUUAUCACCAAUCCUGGUUUCCACAGCAAGCCAUUUUUUUAAUCCAAUUAUCACAGGGUCAGAAAGUGAAGUGAGAUGUUCUGAACCUACAGCAAAACAAACACCACAGGGCUGUUAACCCCUAUGCUAUCCAAAGUAUAGUAAAGAUAAGGUUUUCCCUUGACAUUAAGUCUAAUGGUAUCUGACUCUGGGGGUUGUUGCUCAUCUCCAUUUGUAAGCCGAAGAGCCGGCUUUGUCCAUAGACCGGCAUGACUGCAUGGAACACCGUUACCUUCCUGCCAAAGCGGUACCUAUUGAUCUACUCAUAUUUUGAAAGUAUAACUUCAUAUAUAUGUGCAUAUGUGUGUGUGUGUAUAGUUACACUUUCUAAAGUACCUGUUCAGCUUAAGAACAAACCUACAAAACCUAGCUUGUUCGUAAUUUGGGGACUGCCUUCAGACUAUGUGGAUAAGGCAUAUAUGAAACAUAAAUGAAUUUCGCAUUUAGACUUGGGUCACGUCUCCAAAAUAACUUGUUAUUAUGUAUUCCUAAAUCUAAAACAUUUUUGGUCCUCGAGCCUUUUGGAUAAGGCAUACUCAGGCAUACUCAGGCAGUCUGCAAGUUACGUACGAACAAGACAGGUUCUGUAGAUGUGUUCUUAAAUUGAGUUUGUAUGUAAGUUGGAGAAGUUACAUUUUUAAAGUAUAACUCCAGCCAAAUAUAUAUAUUACCUUAGGAUAGCAUAGGGAAGGGCUAACACCCCUGUGGUACUUGUUUUGCUGUCUGUGCUUCUGUUCAGAAGAUUCCACCUCACAUUGUGUCCCUGUGACAAUCACUGGAUUUUGAAAAAAUUGGCUUGUUGUGGAAACAAGGAUUGGUGAUAAAGCUCCAAUGAAGACCCCUUUUCCCCAUGAUAAUUCUUUCAGAAGUAAAUUUCCCUUCCGAGGGGUAGAUUUCUUUCACUUCCUGUUAUCUCAUUCUUGUGCUUAACUAUGAGUCAUUUUGUUGUAAUUCCGGGAUUGCCUGUACUUUGAUAUUGAUGUGGGGAACACUGGUUUCCAGGAGGCUUGAGGUGGAACUGAAGUUUAUAAUUAGGUGCGUCAAAUGGGGGAGGGAGGAGUUUAUUUCUCAUUGAGUUCAAUAGCAAAGCUCCAAUUCCAUUUAUGAAGGUUGUAUCCAGUGCCUUAAAUCUACUUUUCUCAAAUAACAUGGGGUUGGAUCUAGACUUUGUCUUGCUUUGAACCAAGAAACUGAAAAAUACAGUAUGAAACAUUUGUUAAGAUUUGUAUUGUUUUAUUGAUUUCGGCGAGUCUGCUCUAAUUGCCACCAAGAUUAGAUCCAGGCUUCCAUCUGACAGUUUUUUCUGAGUUUGUUGGAAAUAAUGGAUCGAAAGGAUGGGAGUGUGGAAUCUGUGUCUUUUAAUGACCUUGCCUCUCAGAAGUACGGAAAUGAUUCAUCUUCAGUCAUCUGCAUUCUGCACUGUACUGUUGCUUGAUGAGGAUGACUUCCUUCUAGAAGGCUAACAGGUCAUUUUACUGUCCUGGCAGCGACUGUAAUGCUACACUUACUCAGAACUGAUACUUUGGGGGGGGGUCUCAAAUUGGGAAAGGUUCAUUUUGUAGUUUUUUGUUUGAAUGGGGAAAUUAUAUUAGUUUGAGUUUUAAAAGUCAAUGUCAGUAAUGUCAAUUUGGCCCCAAAACUUAGCUUCUGCAUUUGGCUUGGUUUUAGACCUUCUGUAAAAUAUAUUGUGAUUCGAAAGGCAUCUCAUGGUAAAAAACAAAAAAGGAUGCUUUUCAAAAGGCUGAAAUUGUCCUGAAUAGUGUUUGGAAUUAACUGUAUUCUUAAAUUAAUAUUGAGUUUUUGUUCGAAAAAAUUUAGUUUUGCUUGUUGUGUACCUUCAAGUUGUUUCUGACUUAUGGCAACCCUAAGGCGUCCUAGCAUGGUGUUUUCUUAGAAGGAGUUGUUCUGAGGUGGGUUUUCUUCACCUUCCUCUGAGGCCUCUUCUACACUGCCAUAUAACCCAGAUUAUCAAAGUAGAUAAUCCACUAUCUGUUUUGAACUGGGUUAUAUAGUCUACACUUCCAUAUAAUCCAGUUUAAAUCAGAUAAUCUGAAUUUUAUAUGGCAGUGUAGGAGGGACUGAGACAGAGGUUUCUUCUACACUGCCCUAUAAUCUAGAUUAUCAAAGCAGAUAAUCCAUAUUAUCUGCUUUGAACUGGGUUAUAUAAAUCUACACUCCCAUAUAAUCCUGUUCAAAGCACAUAAUCCAUUUUAAAAGGCAUGAAUUCAUCUUAAACAUCUGUUAAUUUACUAAGAAAGAACUUUGCUGACAAAAAAUUGAAAUGACAAAAAUAAUGUUUGCACAAGAUGGUAGUACAAACCAUGAUUGAAUUUACAUGUAGUUAAUAAUAAAUAAACUUUUAAAAGUUAAGCAAAUAUUCAACUGUGUUGUCGAAGGCUUUCAUGGCCGGGAUCACAGGGUUGUUGUAUGUCUUUCGGGCUGUGUGGCCAUGUUCCAGAAGUAUUCUCUCCUGACGUUUCGCCCACAUCUAUGGCAGGCAUCCUCAGAGAUUGUGAGGAAUUGAUAAACUAGGCAAGGAAAGGAAAAAAUAUAUAUCUGUGGACAGUCCAGGGUGUGACAAGAGUCUUUUGUCAGUUGGAAGCUAGCAUUAAUGUUUCAGUUAAUCACCCUAAUUAGCAUUGGAAAGGUUUGUCUCUUGCCUGAGGGGCAUCCUUUGUUUAGUCAUUAGCUGCCCUUGGGGCUCCUCUGUCCUCAGAGUGUUGCUUUCCCAUCUACUGUUUUGAUUUUAGAGUUUUUUAAUACUAGUAGCCAGAUUUUGUUCAUUUUCAUGGUUUCCUCCUUUCUGUUGAAGUUGUCCACAUGCUUGUGGAUUUCAAUGGCUUCUCUGUGUAGUCUGACAUGAUAGUUGUUGGAGUGGUCCAGCAUUUCUGUGUUCUCAAAUAAUAUACUGUGUCCAGGCUGGUUCAUCAAGUGCUCUGCUAUGGCUGAUUUCUCUGAUUGAAUUAGUCUGCAGUGCCUUUCAUGUUCUUUGACUCUUGUUUGGGCGCUGCCUUUGGUGGUUCCUAUGUAUACUUGUCCACAGCUGCAUGGUAUCCGGUAGACUCCUGCAUAUUCAACUAACAUUUCAUCUGAGAGUUAACUUUGACAUCCUUUGAAACCCCCAGAGACCGAAACCCAACUGGAAUUGAAACAUUCAGUACUUCACUGUGAGAGAUCCUAAGCAGCUUGGUUUCUUAUUUCUGGGAUAUGAACAAUGUGGUAAAAGUUUGCCGAUGCCUGAUAUUUAUACACACAUUAUAUAUCUAUAUAUAUAAAAGAGUGAUGGCAUCACGGCGACCCACAAAGCAACAAAACUACAGGCCCCCCAACCUCGAAAUUUGACAGCACAACCCAUCAUCCACGCCUCUAGGUUGAUACAACAAAAAGAAAAGAAAAAUAAAGUCCUAAUUAGAGAGAGAGGAAUAAUUGCUUUUAUCCAAUUGCUGCCAGUUAGAAGGCUAAGCUCCUCCAACUUGGUCUCCUAGCAACCCAAAAAAAACCACUAAAAAAUUAAUACAAUAAAAUACUAUAAUAACAGAAAAUAACUAAAAUAAUACAAGAAAAUAAUAAAAUAUAAUAAAUAAAAAGAUAACUUACAAUAAAAUUAAUUAAAAAAUGCAAAUAACGUCAAAUAAAAAUUACACAACAAUUUUUAACCAAUACCACCACCACUUUGCCACAGCAACGCGUGGCCGGGCACAGCUAGUAAUGUAUAAAACAUUUUUGGGGCUCCGCAAUAAACUUUUGCUUCUAAAGGGGCUCCGUGGCUGAAAAAAUUUGAAAACCCCUGCUUUAGGGGAAAGGAAAGAUUUUAUUGGACCAGAAUUAACAUUUUGCUAAAAUUUUGUUGAAAGUUAUCAAUAGUAUAUACACCAUAGAUAUAAGAGAAGAGAGAAGAGGACAACAAAUGGCAAAAGUCAGUAAAAGAACCAGAAUUGUGAGUCUAGGAACAUGAUUCAUAGUUUAAGAAUACAAAUUGGCAGCUUUAUUUCUGGAAGAAUGUCUUCAUCUUUAGCAGCAAUGUGAUACACAAUUCCAUGAAUUUACGUUUUGUAACAUGGAAAGCCUGUGAUUCAAAAACAUUUCAGCUUUUGAGUUCGUUUGUGAUAAAGCUGGUAAGAUCCCACCUUCUUCUUGAAAAUAGACAAUUCAGUACACUCUUACGAUUAGUAGCCAUAAAAUAAUCACUGCAAUUCUAAAUAGGUCUACUCAGAAGUAAGCUCCAUUGUACAGUGUGCCCUUGGUCUCUGCUGAGUUUGCUUCCAGAACUCCCUCUCCAUCUCGUGGAUAUCAAACUCUGAAUGUUUAAGUUCCAUUAUAUACAACAGUGCAGUAAAAUGAUGUGCCUUAUAUAAAAUAGCAAAAUCAAAGUUUGCUUUCUGGGAUUUUUUUGUUGUUGUUGUUGAAUAUUUUUAAGAUGGUUGAAUCUGUGGAUGCUGAAUCCAUGGAUAGGGAAGGCUGACUAUAAUGGUAAUCAUUGGUAAAUGGGUAAAUCUACAUAGUAGGGGCAGGAAUUUUAUAGCCCUCUGCUAUUGAGCAGCAACUCCCAGCUUAGCUUGCCCUUGGCUAUGCUGCCUAAGGAUGGGUGAUAACAGUUCAGCAACACCUAAAGGACUGCACACUUUUCAUCACUUAUGUAUAGCAUGCACUGUAGUCUCUUGUUUCUGUGAUACUUCAAUCUAAAGUAAGUGUGUAUGGGGUGGCAGCCUGAGCAUCCUUUUGAAUUAAUCAUUAUUAGAGCUGAUACAUGAGUACAUCCUACUCAACAAUCAUUAAUGCCCUUCCUUAAAUUUAUAUGAAAUGAAGGCUGAAAUACUGAGAUGUAUGAAAAUAAAACAUUCUUGACAGGAUUGGCUUUUUGCUAUGCCAUACCUGAUGUCUAAUAAUCCUCUGUUUUUAUGGGAAACUCUUGACACCUAUUGAAAUUCAUUGCAACAGUGAACUGUGUUAGUUGCUUAGCACAAAAGGUCAUGAUGCUGCUUGACCUUUUUCUAAAACUAUAUUAAAUAAAUUGUAUACAUCUGGCAGUGAAAAGUUCAUGAUGCAAAUGAGAAAUAUAUGUGAUACUCAUAAAAUCUCAGCUUUAAAAUCACAGGAUUUAUCCUUAAAGACACAAAGGAUAGCUCUCAUUUUUCCUAGCACAUUAUAUGCUUACUCACACAUAGCUCUCUGAAUUUAAUGGGACUUAUUCUCAAGUGAGUGUGACAAAGACUUCAAACCAGCAUAGUGAAACUACUCUGUAGGAUAAGACCCAUGAAAGCUCUUUCUAUCUCAGAAGUAAAGCUAGAGCAAAUGUGAUAAAACAAAGAAGUAAAAGUUAACACCUAACAUCAUGUACUUUUGUGUAAUUGCUCACCUAUAUUUCUACUCAGAUAAAUGUAGAAACAUGCAAAGUACAGAAAAAUUACAUGUAACCAUACUUUUACAUUAUGUUUACUAAAGUAUGUACAGACAUGGUAAAGAACAUAAUUUCUAACUAAUACAGUGAGCCCUUGGUAUCUGCUGGAGUUUGGUUCCAGGAUCCCCCCCCCCCCCAAAAAAAAAUAGAUGCCAGAAUCCACGGAGGCUCAAGUCCCAUUAUACACAAUGGCAUAGUAAGUUGUGUUCCCUAUAUUAAAAGGCUCGGGUUUAUGUUUGGGAUUUUUUUUUUCAAGCUAUGCAUGGUUGAAUCUGUGGAUGUAGAAUCCAUGGAUAUGAUGGGCCAACUAUAUCAAGAAGCAUAUCCUGUAUUUAUAAUUGUACUGUAUUUUUUUAGCUCAAGCGAUCAUAUUGUCCUCAAAAUGCACAUGAUUUCUGUGAUGUACACUAUAUAACCUGUUUAUAUAAUAUAUUUGGAUCUAAUCAAUCUCUUUGAAAAGAUAAUUCUAAACCUGGGGGUAAAGGAAGGCAGCAAGGCUUUCAAAAUUUAGUAAGAAGCAUGUAAGACAGUUGGUUGAAAUACAGUUAUAAUCAUACUUUUGAAGAUUUGGGUCUCUGCUAUCGGUGGCUUCAGAAACAUUUACCAAUGGCCACCUAGAGAUUGUGAAUACAUUGAUACACUAUAAUACACUAAUGGGACCUGGCAGUCAGUAUGUCUCAGGAAAACCUCACGUGGCCAUUAAAGACAUUCUAAGGAGUGUCUGCUUCUCCCUAUUUAUUAAGUUAAUGAUGUAGCUGUAACGAGAUCUUGAUAAUAUACAUCUGAACCAUAAUGUACUUCUUAAAUAGCAGACAGAAUAGUCAGUCAAAUGUCCCUGUCUUAAAACACUAAUUUGUUCUGCUUUCAGAUCAAAAAAUAUUUGUUCCUUGCUGAACAUCAGCAUCCCUUAAAUCCAAUGCAGUGUACAGCCUAAAUAUGCUAAAGGCACCAGAUUCCAACUGAAUUUGAAAGCUAAGCUGACUUAGUCCUGGUUAGUACUUAGAUGAGAGACUGCCAGGUCUGUGGGCUGUAUUUCAAAGGAAUGAAUUGACAAAACCACCUCUGAGUAUUCCUUUUCUAAAAAAAAGGCUGUUCCCUUUUUAAAGGGGUCACCAUAAGUCAACACAGGACUUGAAGACAGACAGACAGAUGUGCAUGCACACACACACACACACAUCCAUCCAUGAUCCUUAUUGGGGGAAAAAAGCUCUGUUCCCACAUUUCACAAAAUUACAUCUCUGUGAUACAUCAAAUCCAUAGGGUGUCUUGUGGGUUUGCCAAUUUGGUCUCACAAACUUCUUUAAAAAGAGUACAGGAUAUCUUGUUUUUCUUUGGAGCUAUUGCCCAUUGGAACCUACUCAAGUGGCAGCAGCAAAAUCUUUAUUACAAUCAACAGACCAUUAGGCAACACAUUAAAUGCAUAUUAAGGCAAAAUAGUUUUAAAAACUAAGCAGCUAAUGCAUAGUCACAAAGAACACUUUCUACCUUUAUCUAGGAGGUUAUGAUAUAUAGAAAUUGUUUUGUAGGAUAUGCCAUAACCUCUACACAAUUUUCAAAGGGAAGAAUAUAAUUUACAGAUGUUUGGGUGUAUACAACUGAUGGGUUGAAGACCCUGAUGGGUUGAAGGGUUUUUAAAUUGACAUAAGGUGAUCACAUUAGUAUCUGGCCCUAAGUCGGGGGAAAAUUCCAGUUUUCCUCUGAUUUUCAGUAAUAUGGGACAAAGUUACAUUGAGGUAGACUUGCCCUAGAUUACUGCGGAUCGACACCAUGUGGUGUUUGGCUACAAGAAGGCAGAGCCUAAUCUGCAUCGACCUAAGUGGUCAGUGUAUAUGGGGCUUACAUGUUGAUCCCCCAAUGUAAAAGGUGCCUUUCAGUGAAUCCUGUCUGAAAAGGCUAGAAACUAAUCAGUUAUGUAAAACACAAGGGGAUCGGCUACUCUUGACCUCAUCCUAACAAACACGGAGGACCAGAUCAAUGCAGUUGAAGUGGCUGGAUCCUUAGGGGCAAGUGACCAUAUGCUCCUGCAGUUUGCAAUACAAAGGAAGGCCAAAACAAAAAAAAGUCAAACCCGCAUUAUGGACUUUAGGAGAACUGACUUCCAAAAAAUGAAGGAAAUACUGCAUUGGCAUUCCAUGGAUGCCAAUACUAAAAGACAAGGGAGUCAAGGAUGGAUGGGAGUUUUUCAAAAGUGAAAUACUCAAGGUGCAAAUACAAAUAGUGCCAACAAAGAAUAAAAACAAGACAAGUGCAAAGAAGCCAGAAUGGAUGUCCAAAGAACUUCUAACUGGUCUAAGACUAAAAAAAAGACAUGCACAAGAAGUUGAAAAAGGGAGAAAUCACCAAAGAAGAAUUCAAACAAUUAACCAACUCCUAUAGGGAAAAGGUUCACAAGGCCAAAGCGCAAAACAAGCUCAGGCUUGCCAGAGACAUUAAAAACAAUAAAAAGGGCUUAUUUGCUUACUUCAGUAGGAAAAGAAAGAACAAGGAGGCGAUAGGGCCUCUGCAAGGCGAAGAUGGGGAAAUUCUGACAGGGGAUAGGGAAAAGGUAGAACUAUUUAAUGCCUUCUUUGCCUCAGUCUUCUCACAAAAAGAAAGCCAACCUCAACCUCAGCAACAUGGAGUGGAUGAAGGAUUGGGGGAAAUCCAACCCCAAAUAGGGAAAGAAAUCAUCCAGGAAUACCUGGCUGCUCUAAAUGAAUUUAAGUCUCCAGGGCCGGAUCAACUACAUCCAAGAGUAUUGAAGGAACUAGCAGAAGUUAUUUCGAAACCACUGGCAAUCAUUUUUGAGAGUUCUUGGAGAACAGGAGAAGUCCCAGCAGAUUGGAGGUGGGCGAAUGGGGUCCCUAUCUUCAAGAAGGGAAAAAAGGACAACUCAAACAAUUACCGUCCUAUCAGCCUCACGUCAAUACCAGGCAAGAUUUUGGAACAGAUAAUUAAGGAAGUGGUCUGCAAACACUUAGAAACAUAUGUGGUAAUUGCUAAUAGUCAACACGGAUUUACCAAAAACAAAUCAUGCCAGACUAAUCUGAUCUCUUUUUUCGAUAGAGUUACAAGCUGGGUAGAUGCGGGGAAUGCCGUGGAUGUAGCCUAUCUGGAUUUCAGUAAGGCCUUCAACAAGGUCCCCCAUGACCUUCUGACAAACAAGCUAGUCAAAUGUAGGCUAGGCAAAACUACGGUUAGGUGGAUCUGUAAUUGGUUAAGCGUGCUCACCAAUGCAUCUUCUUCAUCUUGGAAAGAAGUCACAAGUGGAGUCCUGGGCCCGGUUCUGUUCAACAUCUUUAUUAACAACUAAGAUGAAGGGUUAGAAGGCACGAUCAUCAAGUUUGCAGACGACACCAAACUGGAAGGGAUAGCUAACACUCCAGAAGACAGGAGUAGAAUUCAAAACGAUCUUGACAGAUUAGAGAGAUGGGCCCAAACUAACAAAAUGAAGUUCAACAGGGACAAAUGCAAGAUACUUCACUUCGGCAGAAAAAAUGAAAUGCAAAGAUACAGAAUGGGGGAUGAUGCCUGGCUCGACAUGUGAAAUAGACCUUCGAGUCCUCGUGGACAAUAAGUUAAACAUGAGCCUACAAUGUGAUGCAGCGGCGAAAAAAGCCAAUGGGAUUUUGACUUGCAUAAAUAGGGGUAUAGCAUCUAGAUCCAGGGAAGUCAUGCUCCCCCUCUAUUCUGCCUUGGUCAGACCACACCUGGAAUACUGUGUCCAAUUCUGGGCACUGCAAUUGAAGUGAGAUGUUGACAAGCUGGAAAGCGUCCAGAGGAGGGCAACUAAAAUGAUCAAGAGUCUGGAGAACAAGCCCUACGAAGAGCGGCUUAAAGAACUAGGUAUGUUUAGCCUACAGAAGAGAAGGCUGAGAGGAGACAUGAUAGCUAUGUACAAAUAAGUGAGGGGAAGUCAUAGGGAGGAAGGAGCAAGCUUGUUUUCUGCUGCCCUGCAGACUAGGACAAUGGCUUCAAACUACAGGAAAGGAGAUUCCACCUGAACAUCAGGAAGAACUUCCUCACUGUGAGGGCUGUUCGGCAAUGGAACUCUCUCCCCCGGACUGUGGUGGAGGCUUCUUCUGUGGAGGCUUUUAAGCAGAGGCUGGAUGGCCACCUGUUGGGGGUGCUUUGAAUGAGAUUUUCCUGCUUCUUGCAGGAGGUUGGACUGGAUGGCCUGUGAGGUCUCUUUCAACUCUACGAUUCUAUGAUUCUAUGAUUCAUAUAAAUAGGACAGGAAUAUUUAAAAUAAAACUAUUUUUUCUAGGGCAGGAUAUACACUAUGUGGUUUUCAUAGAUUAUGCUGGCAUGGGUAGUCUAAUGAAAUAAGUAUUGGAAAAAACAGCACUUGUUCUUGCUGCUCUUUUGUCCACUGGGGAUGGGAUAGGAUGGUUUGGGCAGAAAGAUAAUAUUUUGUCUUCCUUUCCUGCUUGCUUUUGCCUCCUCUGUCAGCAACCUAUCCCAAAAGUGUUAUGGGUAGAUUACAUUGUCUGGUCAUUAAUUGACCAUGUCGUUAAUUGACUGCCCUCCAUUGUAAAAAAAAGUACCAGAGCAGACUAAACCCUCUGCUCUCUACACCAUGUUUCCCUCCCACCCUUUUCUGUUUUAGAUAAAUUUAAAAAGGAUCAGACUAUUUCUAUCUAAGAAUAUAUUUCCUUAUUACAUGUUCCUGCUGCUGAGGAUUCUAAACUUAUUUCUCUGCCUACUUUUUUUUUUCAAUUUCACCAUCCUAAGAUGGGCACUUUAGUUGUGAGUGGAAUAAAGGCUCUAACACAGUGGUUCUCAAUCUGGGGUCCCCAGAUGUUUUUGGCCUACAACUCCCAGAAAUCCCAGCCAGUUUACCAGCUAUUAGGAUUUCUGCUAGUUGAAGGCCAAAAACAUCUGGAGACCCCAGGUUCAGAACCACUGCUCUAACAGGUCAUUCAUUUCAAAAAUAAAAUCUCACUGUUAUCUUUUUUUAACAAUAAAUGAUUGGACAAUUGGAAAUAAUCUCAAAAGGUAGAAUGCUAUUUGAUGUACCCCCAAGACAACAAUACGGGACAAGUAUGUGUCAUCCCCACAUAAUGUUUGCAGCUGCACAUCUUUUCACAUAGAAUUAAGGAAUGGAGUUGCAAAAGAAAAGUUUAGGUGUAACACCAGCAAUAAAAAUGUAAAACCAGAAUGAAAGUAGAAAUAGCAAAAUUAAUUGUAUCCUACUUUCUCAAUGCAGUACAGUGUUCCCUCACUUAUUGCUGGGGUUAGGUUCCAGGACCACCCGCAAUAAGUGAAAAUCCGUGAAGUAGGGACACUAUAUUUAUUUUAAUAUUUAUACAUUAUUUUAGUAGUUAUACACUAUUUUAUGUCUUUAUCAACCAAUCGUGUGUUGAUAAAUCUCCUCCUUCUCUUCCUGUUGCUGCUUGGGCUCCUUUUCUCUCCCUUUGACUUCCCCUUUCUCCCUACCCUAGGCUGUAAAUUGUAAUUUUUAUGAUUUAUAAUAGUCUUUUAGAGUUUAUUGAAAAACCGCGAAACAGCGAAUACGCGAAAAGUGAACCGCAAAGUAGUGAGGGAACACUGUAUAUGCUUUAAGGCAGUAGGCCUAUAACCUUUCUGAGAAGGCCUCUAAUCUUAGUGAAUUAUUCAAUUUCUGUCAGUGUUGCUUAGACAUUUUUUCCUGAAUAACAACAGCCCAAAAUUGUCUCUGAAAUUUGGCAGGAAUGUUGUAUAGCAUAAGAUGUGAGACUACAAACAUUUCUUGUGGAAUAACAGAGCUCUCAUGUCAAUAUAGGAGUGGAGGAAAUAAACUACCAGCAAAUAAACUACUGGGAGAUUUACACUGUUCAUUUGAAGUCACUUUACAGUCUUCUCCCAGAGGUUUUGCUAAAUAUACAGUGAUGAAAAGGAUAAACUGAAUCCUGUGAGAAUGAGAGAGUAAACCUCUAGAAUAGAAAGCUUCUCAUUACAGCUGUGUGACAGCGCUUCAGAAGGGGAUAAGCCAUUGUAUAACUUGUCCUUGUGGACAGCGUGGAAUUUCGGGUAACAACUACAAAAAGAUGCAUCUAUAAGUGCUAUGUAAAACAAUGUUAUAUAAGUGUACUUUGUCUUGAGAACUCUAGUGUUGUGAAGAAAUUUGUGGUUCUGCAAAAUUUGCUGAGUGUCAGUCCAAAACAUUUUGUUGCAUGAGGUGGCAUAGCAAAAGGCACCCUCCUCAUGCAGGUUAAAGUGCAGAGUAUCCAAGGUCACUUGUGUUAUUGUGUUACACAAUUGAGAAAAUUCGACAAGCAUGUCUCCAUCCCUAACAGUAAAUGAUUGCAAACACGUAGUAAAUAACCAAUAGUUCAUUGCCCGUUUUUUAUUCUCAAAGUCUGUUGUCCACUUCACUGUACUUUGUUGUAGAGCUGAUGCUGUGAUUAAGAUUGCUGUAGAAUUUCAAAGAUACCCAAUUAUCUACAUGACCUAAUGUUUCAAAGCACUCGGAAGUUAUUGAAGUGUUAGUAGUGUAUUAUGUUUAAUUUGAGUAAAAUUCAAUUUUGCUAACAACUGUAAAAAGAGAACAAGACUUUUCAGUACUGCGGCCAUAAACCUCUUCUUUCUCCUGACACGUGGGUAGUCAUGUUUCCAUGGUAUUACUUGGUAGUCACCACUUAUCGUGCACCUGCUGCCUGCUUUUGCAAUACAUUAUCAUUUGGUCACAUAGGUUGAUCUGCUAUUUCAUGAGGAAAUGCUGUGUCGAUAGUCCUGUCUUUGAAUAAAGAAACUACGUAUUAUAAUUUUACAAAAAUAUUGAAGGACAGAUAAGGAUGGAAAGAGGCUGAGAAAUGAAGACUCUUGCUGCUUUUCCCUCCAACUGAAUGCCCAAAGUGAUAUGAUAAUUAAAAAGACGUUCUAGAAACAUAGACGGUCUAAGGUUGACAUCACUACAAGACUAAAGCACAUUAAAAGGAAAUGACAAGUCUAUUGCCAGAGGAUGCUGUGGAGUCCCAGGGCUCGGAUGAGCUUGAAUGUAAAAUCUGUUACAACCGCUAUAACCUGAGACAAAGAAAACCUAAAGUUCUGGGAUGUUGUCACAGAGUAUGUGCCAAAUGCCUUUGCAAGAUCAUAGAUUUUGGGGACUCUCCUCAGGGGGUCAUUGUUUGCCCAUUCUGCCGGUUUGAGACUUGCCUGCCUGAUGAUGAGCAUCAUGAACAUAUUUGCAACUCAGAAAUUACUCGGCUGGUACGUGUAGGCAGCAUGAAGAGGAGAGAGGGAAUGAAGAUUGUUUAGAGGAAGCCAUAGACUAUUUGCUGGAAAACAUCAUAAAAGAUUGAUAUGCUAAUGAGGGCCUUGGGGAAAUGGCUCAAAAUCCUUGAGAAGAGGAACAAGCAUCUCUGGUGUAAUUUGCAAGAAGAGAGAGCUUCAUGUCAACACAGUCACUGAACAAUAUUCUAUGUUUUUGCCAAUGGGCUCUACCCUCCCAUAUGAAGUUUAUGAUUCUGAUCUCCCUCUCUUCCAGUUAUCUCAGGUUAUUUCCCAAUCUUUACAUUUCUUGGCUUAUAGUCUGAGGUACUUAUCAGUUUAUUUUUCAGAAAUUUUAUCUUGGAAGAAAAAGAAGAGAAGCAAGGAACGAAGCAAAGAAAAUAGAAUGUGAAGGGAAAAAAGACAAAUGCUAAUGAAACUAUGUGAAUAAAGAAAUGGUUUUGUCUUCUUUUCAA